UAGUCUCUUCCCUUGAGUGUAGUCCCUGGAAUUCAAUACUAUACUCAGGUUGGGGGCUAAU
RNAcentral lists this microRNA precursor (61 nucleotides) under Monodelphis domestica (gray short-tailed opossum). RNAcentral describes it as "microRNA mdo-mir-7344 precursor". Lineage: Eukaryota; Metazoa; Chordata; Mammalia; Didelphimorphia; Didelphidae. The record is from miRBase by way of RNAcentral.